Molecule: small nuclear RNA, 188 nt
Organism: Perca fluviatilis (European perch)
Lineage: Eukaryota; Metazoa; Chordata; Actinopteri; Perciformes; Percidae
Product: U2 spliceosomal RNA
Exons: 1
Source: RefSeq, a predicted model, not a curated record
AUCGCUUCCGGGCCUUUUGGCUAAGAUCAAGUGUAGUAUCUGUUCUUAUCAGUUUAAUGUCUGAUAUGUCCUCUAUCAGGGGACAACAUAUUAAAUGGAUUUUUGCCGAUUGGAGUAGAAAAAGGGGGCUUGCUCCGUCUUCCCACCGAAUCAUUGACCGGUAGCUUGCCGGGAACGGUGCACCUUUC